Molecule: ribosomal RNA, 402 nt
Filed under: uncultured bacterium
Lineage: Bacteria
Description: bacterial SSU rRNA
Rfam family: Bacterial small subunit ribosomal RNA
Source: RNAcentral
AUUGAACGCUGGCGGCAUGCCUUACACAUGCAAGUCGAACGGCAGCACGGGAGCAAUCCUGGUGGCGAGUGGCGAACGGGUGAGUAAUAUAUCGGAACGUGCCCAGUCGUGGGGAUAACGUAGCGAAAGCUACGCUAAUACCGCAUACGAUCUAUGGAUGAAAGCGGGGGGAGUCGCAAGACCUCGCGCGAUUGGAGCGGCCGAUAUCAGAUUAGGUAGUUGGUGAGGUAAAGGCUCACCAAGCCGACGAUCUGUAGCUGGUCUGAGAGGACGACCAGCCACACUGGGACUGAGACACGGCCCAGACUCCUACGGGAGGCAGCAGUGGGGAAUAUUGGACAAUGGGCGGAAAGCCUGAUCCAGCCAUGCCGCCGUGUGUGAAGAAGGUCUUCGGAUUGUAAG